This 497-nucleotide ribosomal RNA is filed under the name uncultured bacterium. RNAcentral's name for it is "partial 16S ribosomal RNA". It matches the Rfam family "Bacterial small subunit ribosomal RNA", at positions 28 to 507 of the family's 1533-position model. The record is from RNAcentral.
GAUGAACGCUGGCGGCGUGCCUAAUACAUGCAAGUCGAGCGAACAGACGAGGAGCUUGCUCCUCUGACGUUAGCGGCGGACGGGUGAGUAACACGUGGAUAACCUACCUAUAAGACUGGGAUAACUUCGGGAAACCGGAGCUAAUACCGGAUAAUAUAUUGAACCGCAUGGUUCAAUAGUGAAAGACGGUUUUGCUGUCACUUAUAGAUGGAUCCGCGCCGCAUUAGCUGGUUGGUAAGGUAACGGCUUACCAAGGGAACCAUGCGUAGCCGACCUGAGUGGGGGAUAGGCCACACUGGAACUGAGACAGCGUCCAGACUACUACGGGAGGCAGCAGUAGGGAACCUGCCGCAAUGGGCGAAAGCCUGACGGAGCAACGCCACGUGAGUGAUGGAGGUCUUCGGAUCGUAAAACUCUGUUAUGAGGGAAGAACAAAUGUGUAAGUAAAUAUGCACGUAUUGACGGUACCUAAUAAGAAAGCCACGGCUAACUACGUG